This 533-nucleotide ribosomal RNA is filed under the name uncultured bacterium. RNAcentral describes it as "bacterial SSU rRNA". It matches the Rfam family "Bacterial small subunit ribosomal RNA", at positions 38 to 617 of the family's 1533-position model. The record is from RNAcentral.
GGCGGCACGCCUAACCAUGCAAGUCGAACGAAGUAGCAAUACUUAGUGGCAGACGGGUGAGUAACAUGUAGGUAUCUACCCUUUGGCCUGGAAUAACACGAGGAAACUUGUGCUAAUACCGGAUAAGUCUUUACGGAGAAAGCUUUAUGCACCAUUGGAUGAGCCUGCACUUGAUUAGUUUGUUGGUGGGGUAAUGGCCUACCAAGACUGUGAUCAAUAGCUGAUUUGAGAGGAUGAUCAGCCACAUUGGGACUGAGACACGGCCCAAACUCCUACGGGAGGCAGCAGUGGGGAAUCUUGCACAAUGGAGGAAACUCUGAUGCAGCGAUGCCGCGUGAGUGAAGAAGGCCUUUGGGUUGUAAAGCUCUUUCGUCGGGGAAGAAAAUGACUGUACCCGAAUAAGAAGGUCCGGCUAACUUCGUGCCAGCAGCCGCGGUAAUACGAAGGGACCUAGCGUAGUUCGGAAUUACUGGGCUUAAAGAGUUCGUAGGUGGUUGAAAAAGUUAGUGGUGAAAUCCCAGAGCUUAACUCUG